GGAAGCGUGCCCGAGCAGGGACUACCUUGAUAGAGUAGACACGGAACUUAAUAUUCCCACUUCCC
RNAcentral lists this transfer RNA (65 nucleotides) under Hypsiglena slevini (Baja California nightsnake). RNAcentral describes it as "tRNA-Ile". Lineage: Eukaryota; Metazoa; Chordata; Lepidosauria; Squamata; Dipsadidae. The record is from RNAcentral.